This 454-nucleotide ribosomal RNA is filed under the name uncultured bacterium. Its description in RNAcentral is "bacterial SSU rRNA". It matches the Rfam family "Bacterial small subunit ribosomal RNA", at positions 29 to 506 of the family's 1533-position model. The record is from RNAcentral.
AUGAAUGCUGGCGGCGUGUCUAAGGCAUGCAAGUCGUAAGUGGUAGCAAUACCAACUUGGCAAACGGGAGAGUAACACAUUGGUAACUUACUUUAAGGACGAGGAUAAUCCUGCGAAAGCGGGAAUAAUACUGGAUAAAAAUGAGGGGGCAAAUGCCAUUCUCAUUUAAAGUCGCAAGACACCUUAAAAGAGGCCUAUGUUCUAUCAGCUAGUUGGUGAGGUAAUAGCUCACCAAGGCUUUGACAGAUAGCGGGUGUGAGAGCAUGACCCGUCUCACUGGGACUGAGACACUGCCCAGACUCCUACGGGAGGCUGCAGUCAAGAAUCUUCCCCAAUGGCCGAAAGGCUGAGGGAGCGACGCCGCGUGUAUGAAGACGCCCUUCGGGGUGUAAAGUACUUUUUUCUAGGAAGAAACAAUGACGGUACUAGAAGAAUAAGGGGCUGCUAACUCUGU